UUAAAUCCCUCCUAUACUA
This 19-nucleotide transfer RNA is filed under the name Crotaphytus bicinctores. RNAcentral's name for it is "partial tRNA-Met". Lineage: Eukaryota; Metazoa; Chordata; Lepidosauria; Squamata; Crotaphytidae. The record is from RNAcentral.